This 253-nucleotide ribosomal RNA is filed under the name uncultured bacterium. RNAcentral describes it as "partial 16S ribosomal RNA". It matches the Rfam family "Bacterial small subunit ribosomal RNA", at positions 524 to 776 of the family's 1533-position model. The record is from RNAcentral.
UACGUAGGGGGCAAGCGUUGUCCGGAAUCAUUGGGCGUAAAGCGCGUGUAGGCGGCUUGGUAAGUCCGCUCUGAAGGCCCGGGGCUCAACCCCGGGAGGCGGGUGGAUACUGUCAAGCUCGAGUCCGGAAGAGGCGAGUGGAAUUCCUGGUGUAGCGGUGAAAUGCGCAGAUAUCAGGAGGAACACCAAUGGCGAAGGCAGCGUCGCUGGGACGUGACUGACGCUGAGGCGCGAAGCCAGGGGAGCGAACGGG